This is a long non-coding RNA of Oncorhynchus tshawytscha (Chinook salmon), 526 nucleotides long. The record is from Ensembl. NCBI's taxonomy places the organism in Eukaryota, Metazoa, Chordata, Actinopteri, Salmoniformes, Salmonidae.
GGUGUGAAUGUACUGGGUCAUAGAGGGGGUGUGAAUGUACUGGGUCAUAGAGGGGGUGUGAAUGUACUGGGUCAUAGAGGGGGGACAUGUGAAUGUACUGGGGUCAUAGAGGGGGGGUGAAUGUACUGGGUCAUAGAAUGGGUGUGAAUGUACUGGGUCAUAGAGGGGGUGUGAAUGUACUGGGGUCAUAGAGGGGAUGUGAAUGUACUGGGGUCAUAGAGGGGAUGUGAAUGUACUGGGUCAUAGAGGGGGUGUGAAUGUACUGGGGCAUAGAGGGGGGUGUGAAUGUACUGGGUCAUAGAGGGGGUGUGAAUGUACUGGGGUCAUAGAGGGGAUGUGAAUGAUGUACUGGGUCAUAGAGGGGAUGUGAAUGUACUGGGUCAUAGAGGGGUGUGAAUGUACUGGGUCGUGAAGGGGGAGUGAAUGUACUUGGUCGUAGAGGGGAUGUGAAUGUACUUGGUCAUAGAGGGGAUGUGAAUGUACUGGGUCAUAGAGGGGAUGUGAAUGUACUGGGGUCAUAGAGGGG